Molecule: ribosomal RNA, 642 nt
Filed under: Vibrio sp. enrichment culture clone AA06
Lineage: Bacteria; Pseudomonadati; Pseudomonadota; Gammaproteobacteria; Vibrionales; Vibrionaceae
Description: bacterial SSU rRNA
Rfam family: Bacterial small subunit ribosomal RNA
Source: RNAcentral
AGCGGCGGACGGGUGAGUAAUGCCUAGGAAAUUGCCUUGAUGUGGGGGAUAACCAUUGGAAACGAUGGCUAAUACCGCAUAACGCCUACGGGCCAAAGAGGGGGACCUUCGGGCCUCUCGCGUCAAGAUAUGCCUAGGUGGGAUUAGCUAGUUGGUGAGGUAAUGGCUCACCAAGGCGACGAUCCCUAGCUGGUCUGAGAGGAUGAUCAGCCACACUGGAACUGAGACACGGUCCAGACUCCUACGGGAGGCAGCAGUGGGGAAUAUUGCACAAUGGGCGCAAGCCUGAUGCAGCCAUGCCGCGUGUAUGAAGAAGGCCUUCGGGUUGUAAAGUACUUUCAGCAGUGAGGAAGGGGGUGUCGUUAAUAGCGGCAUCUCUUGACGUUAGCUGCAGAAGAAGCACCGGCUAACUCCGUGCCAGCAGCCGCGGUAAUACGGAGGGUGCGAGCGUUAAUCGGAAUUACUGGGCGUAAAGCGCAUGCAGGUGGUUUGUUAAGUCAGAUGUGAAAGCCCGGGGCUCAACCUCGGAACUGCAUUUGAAACUGGCAAACUAGAGUACUGUAGAGGGGGGUAGAAUUUCAGGUGUAGCGGUGAAAUGCGUAGAGAUCUGAAGGAAUACCAGUGGCGAAGGCGGCCCCCUGG